Molecule: ribosomal RNA, 496 nt
Filed under: uncultured bacterium
Lineage: Bacteria
Description: partial 16S ribosomal RNA
Rfam family: Bacterial small subunit ribosomal RNA
Source: RNAcentral
ACUCAAAGGAAUAGACGGGGGCCCGCACAAGCAGUGGAGCAUGUGGUUUAAUUGGAUGCUACGCCAAGAACCUUACCAAGACUUGACUUCCCGUCGCAAGCCCUUAGAAAUAGGGGCCCUCUUCGGACGGCGGUGACAGGUGGUGCAUGGUUGUCGUCAGCUCGUGCCGUGAGGUGUUGGAUUAAGUUCCGCAACGAGCGCAACCCUCGUGGUUAGUUGCCAUCAUUCAGUUGGGCACUCUAGCCAGACUGCCGGCGUCAAGCCGGAGGAAGGUGGGGAUGACGUCAAAUCAUCAUGCCCCUUACGUCUUGGGCUACACACGUGCUACAAUGGGCGGUACAACGGGUUGCCACGGCGCGAGCCGGAGCGAAUCCCUAAAGCCGUCCUCAGUUCGGAUUGCAGGCUGCAACUCGCCUGCAUGAAGCUGGAAUUGCUAGUAACCGUGCAUCAGCAUGGCGCGGUGAAUACGUACCCGGGCCUUGCACACACCGCCCGU